AGGGCACCACCAGGAGUGGAGCCUGCGGCUUAAUUUGACUCAACACGGGAAACCUCACCCGGCCCGGACACGGACAGGAUUGACAGAUCGAUAGCUCUUUCUCGAUUCCGUGGGUGGUGGUGCAUGGCCGUUCUUAGUUGGUGGAGCGAUUUGUCUGGUUAAUUCCGAUAACGAACGAGACUCUGGCAUGCUAACUAGUUACGCGACCCCCCGAGUGGUCGGCGUCCCCCAACUUCUUAGAGGGACAAGUGGCGUUCAGCCACCCGAGAUUGAGCAAUAACAGGUCUGUGAUGCCCUUAGAUGUCCGGGGCUGCACGCGCGCUACACUGACUGGCUCAGCGUGUGCCUACCCUACGCCGGCAGGCGCGGGUAACCCGUUGAACCCCAUUCGUGAUGGGGAUCGGGGAUUGCAAUUAUUCCCCAUGAACGAGGAAUUCCCAGUAAGUGCGGGUCAUAAGUUUGCGUUGAUUAAGUUCCCUGUCCGUUUGGACACCCAGCCUGUGCCAUCUACUCACUUUA
Molecule: ribosomal RNA, 519 nt
Filed under: uncultured eukaryote
Lineage: Eukaryota
Description: SSU rRNA
Rfam family: Eukaryotic small subunit ribosomal RNA
Source: RNAcentral